CUUGACGGAGCACAGUCUCAGUCUGGACGCACACACCCUCAAUACAAUCCACCACCACAAGUGCACCAUCAGUAAUACGAAGAGCAGCUGUGACUUCAGACGAAAAGUCAACAUGCCCGGGAGAGUCAAUGAGAUUGAUGAGGUACUCAUUUCCGUCCCUCUCUCCCUUGUAGCUCUUCAAAGCUUCAUCACUCAUCUCAUAGUAGAGAGAGAUACCGGUAGAUUUAAUUGUGAUACCACGCUCUGCCUCAUCUGCACGGGUAUCAGUCAUCCGGACAUCACCAGCAACUUCUUGUGCAAUGAUACCCGCAGCAGCAACAAGCGAGUCGGUAAGGGUCGACUUCCCUGCAUAUUAAAAUUCAAUAUGAUUAUAUGUAUGAACAAACACGCAGGACAUCGUAACAAAUGACAAACCGCAAUUAUACAUAUUGACUGCUGAAAUAUUUUUUUGACAAACUGGUGAAACAUUUUAAAUUAUAACCAUUAGAGCAAAAAGUUCAAUAUACAGAAAGAAAAAAAAAUCCACCUGACUAAAAUAUUACAACAUUAAAAAUCUUUUUUCACCAGGUUAAUAAAAACACCUUGUUACGAAGAUAAGAAUUGUAAAGUGAAAAAAAAAAAAAAGAUAUAUACCAUGAUCGACAUGAGCAAUAACAGACAUAUUGCGAAUGUUGUGCUUGUAGUCCAUAAUUCUACGGAGUUCCUCUGCAGUAAACUUCACCUGCACAUAUCAAGAAUAUCGCACCAUUAAGAAUUAAAUAGUCAAUGGAUCAGCUCAACAACAACCAUGUAACCAUGUUCAGAUUGAAAGACGUUACUUACCAUCUUGACUAGUCUUUAAUAACCGGCAAUUAGUAUCUAUAAGGAGGUGAUUAACCGACAAGGAACCACCUGCAAAAUUAAAACAACAGAAAGAAUGAAUUUAGAAUUCAGCUAUGAAUAGAAACAUUUAAAGCAUUCAAACUAUUAGACCCAAUUCAUUUCAAACGUUUUCAAAACGAUUAGAAAAAACGAUAGCAAGAAAUUUCCCAAAGGAGUAUUGAAUUCAGGUGAAAAUCAUAGAUAAUUUUUACUGCAUCAAGCAAUGUUAAUAAUCAAGACAAAAGAUAUUCUGUAAAUUGUCUUCACAAAAUAGAAAACAAGUACACAUAAACUAGUAGAUUUUAGAAAAUAAAUAAUUGAUCUGGAAAAUAUGUUUUAAAUUAAUUCUUUGACGUGCACAGGAAACAAAAAAUUAGACAGAAAAAGUCUCAAUUGGAAAUUUCAUACUUUCGUGAAGACAAAAUUUACUCUUAAAUUAAAAGUAAUCUUUCCACAACGAAACUAUUUUCCGGGAAAACAGAGUAUGUACUGUAUUAGUGUGAACAAAUUAUAAAACAAAGAUCUAGCUAAUACAAAACAUCCACUCACAAAUUAUAGUAAAAUUCUCAUACAUCACGUAAGAAAUUUCAACAGUUUAAAGAAAACGUCAGAAAAUUUUUCCACAGCAAAAAAAUUUCACGUAAAAAUUUUCCGAUGAACCAAACAGAGCCUGAGGGAGUGAUCCGUACAGAAAACAAGGAUCUAGUACUAACAAGAAUAUCUGAGCGAUGAUCGAAACAGUAAACUAGCAAAUCUGAUGGAAAUAGUAUCGAAUCAAAAGCAUGCAGAACAAUAGUAUAAUUUCAAAAAAAUAAAAUCCAUGCAGAUCACUGAUUUUUCAGACAAAUAUGUUGGAGUAUGUGGCCCAACUUUUGAUUAAACAAAUCAAAAAGGAAAAAAAGACAAAAUAAUUAUGUCUCUUCCUUGUUUUGGGGAAAAGAAAAGGGAAUUUGUCUAAAGUUUUCUUGGUCUAUGUGGGAAGUCACGGAUGAGUUUUUGAAAAAUAAAAUCCAUGCAGAUCACUGAUUUUUCAGACAAAUAUGUUGGAGUAUGUGGCCAAGUGGCCAACUUUUGAUUAAACAAAUCAAAAAGGAAAAAAAGACAAAAUAAUUAUGUCUCUUCCUUGUUUUGGGGAAAAGAAAAGGGAAUUUGUCUAAAGUUUUCUUGGUCUAUGUGGGAAGUCACGGAUGAGUUUUUGAAGUAGAAGUAAUUGCUACUUUUGAUGAAGAGUAGUAAUGAAGCCAUAAGAGAGAAAAAAAAAACGUAGCAGAAAAAUAGAGCAAAAACAAAGGUGCUGAAGCCCCAUUUUGAAGAGAAGAAAGAAAGGUGAUUUUCUUUCUUUGUUGGUACUCACUCAAUCAAAGUUGUAUUUGUGUAUUAGCUUUGAGCUUUGUAUAGAGAGGAAAUUAUUCACUAUAUUUCCCUCUCUAUUUGUUUCUUUGGUGAGUGAGAGUUAUUGGAUGUAUUGGGGUUUUGGGUUGUGAGAUUGCCAACACUUUGUAAACUCCCAUUUGGUUGAUAGUGGAUUAUUGGGUGAGCUCCUACUGCUCCGAGGACGUACUCCAGUUACACUGACUGUUGAGGAACCUCGUUAAAAUCUUGGUGUUCUUUUAUAUUUUGUUCUUGCAUUUUUAUUUGAUAAAAUUUCCUGUGGGUUAGCUUGAGUUGGUUCCAACGGGUUUGGUGCUAUCCUAGCACAACAAUUGGUAUCAGAGCACUGGUUGCUCUUGGGUACUGUCUAGUUGCCAAAGAUGUCAGACGGGCAAGAUGAGAAUCCUUUUGGAAGCAACUCUGGGUUUGCAAGAACUACGGUGCAAAAUGCAAAGUUCGAAGUGGAAAAGUUUGAUGGCACAAACAACUUCGGGAUGUGGCAAUGUGAGGUCAAAGAUGUGUUGGCUCAACAAGAUCUACUUGCCGCUUUGGGAGAGAAGCCGGAAGUUAUGUCGAAGCCGGAAUGGGAGAAAUUAAAUUUGUGGACUUGCUCUUCAAUUCGGUUGUGCCUUGCAAAAACUCAGAAGUAUUUUGUGAUGCGGGAGACAUUAGCAAGUGUGUUGUGGCAAAAAUUGGAAGACAAGUAUAUGACAAAGAGUGCAGAGAACCGCCUACACUUGAAGAAAAAGCUCUACCGCUUCCAAUACAAAGAAGGUACAAAAAUGAUUAGACACCUUGAUGCUUUUAAUAAGUUGAUUGCCGACUUGUUAAAUUUAGAUGAGGAUAUUAAGGAUGAAGAUAAGGCCUUAAUAUUGUUGAAUUCAUUGCCGGACUCUUAUGAGCAUUUUGUUACCACUAUUAUGCAUGGUAAAGAAACUGUGAAAUUUGAAGAUGUGUCAAAUGCCUUGAUGAAUUAUGAAAUGAGGCAUAGAGAUAAAAAUCAUGAUAGUACCUCUGAAGCUUUAUUUGUUAGAGGUAGAUCAUCGGAGAGGAGGUCAUCUUCUAGCAGGGAAAAAUCACAGUCUCGACCUAGAGGAAACUCUAAAGGUAGAAAACCUUUGGAAAGGGAUGAAUGUGCCUUUUGUCGUAAUAAGGGCCAUUGGAAGAAAGAUUGUCCCAAAUUGAAGACCAAAGGAAAAGAAAGUUCUGAAGCUAAUGUUGCUGAGGUUGAAACAGAUUUUUCUGAUUUUGCUUUAACCACUUCCUCAUAAUUUGAUUGUGCUACUAAGUGGGUGUUGGAUACGGGUUGUACUCAUCAUAUGACUCCUCACAAAGAUUGGUUUUCAAGCUUGAAAGAGUUUGAUGGUGGCGUUGUGUUCAUGGGAGAUGACAAUCCUUGCACAACAAAAGGGAUUGGUACAGUUCGUUUGAAGUUGCAUGAUGGCAUGGUUAAAGAGUUGACAGGUGUUCGGUAUGUACCGAAUUUGAAGAAAAAUCUUAUUUCUUUGGGUACUUUGGAAUCCAAGGGCUUCAGGUUUCAUUCAGAUGGACAGACAUUGAAAGUUACUUAUGGUGCACUUGUUGUGAUGAAAGCUCAUAGAUGUGGCCAUUUGUAUUUAUUGCAGGGAAGCACUGUGAUAGGUGAAGCAUCUGUAGUCUCUGAAAAUAUGGGCACAUCUGAUUCAGAUACUACUAGAUUGUGGCAUAUGAGAUUAGGCCAUGCCGGUGAGAAAGCUCUACAAGGGCUUGUGAAAAAAGGUCUUCUAAAAGGUGCCACGACUUGUAAGCUUGAUUUUUGCGAGCAUUGUGUCUUGGGGAAGCAAACUAGAGUGAAGUUUGGUACUGCUGUACAUCAGACGAAGGGCAUUCUUGAUUAUGUGCAUUCGGAUGUUUGGGGUCCUACAAAGACUCCCUCUUUGAGUGGUAGACAUUGGUUCGUGACCUUUGUUGAUGAUUAUUCAAGAAGGUCUUGGGUCUACACUAUGAAGCACAAGAGUGAGGUGUUAAGCAUUUUCUUGGGUUGGAAGAAAAAUGUUGAGAAGCAGACUGGGAGAAAGAUUGAAUCGAACCUUGCUUGAGAAGGUUAGAUGUUUGUUGUCUCAGUCGGGUUUAAGCAAGUCAUUUUGGGCAGAGGCAGUUAAUUAUGCAUGUCACAUCAUCAACCGGUUACCCUCAGCUGCUGUUCAGGGUAAGACACCAAUGGAGGUAUGGACUGGAAAACCUUCUUCUGAUUAUGACAAUAUCCGUAUUUUUGGUUCACCUGCUUAUUUUCAUGUGACUGAAAAUAAACUUGAUCCUAGAGCCAAAAAGGCUAUCUUUCUUGGUUUUAGUAGUGGUGUCAAAGGUUACAGGUUGUGGUGCCCAGAGAUGAAAAAACUUGUAAUCAGCAGAGAUGUGACAUUUGAUGAAGAAAGUAUGUACAAAGUCUCUGAGAAGAAUGUGAAAGAUGUCCAACAGGUGGAGCUUGAGAAAGUUGCCUCUGGUACUUCAAAUCUUAUUUCCGCUGAUGUCGAAGCCACUACAAGUGAAGAAGUUGGAGACCAUGAGGAUGUUGAAGAAGUUGAACUUGAAGAUUCUAUUCAAGUUGAAGAGCAAGUUUCACCUCAAGAGUCUAUUGCCAAGAACAGAGGAAAUAGACAAAUUACCAAGCCAGCUCGGUAUAGUGAUUAUGUUGCUUUUGCUCUUCCUAUUAUCACUGAAGAGAUUCCAUCCAAUUUUGAGGAAGCUAUUGAGAGUGAGGAGAAGAAUAGGUGGUGCAAUGCCAUGGGUGAUGAGAUGAAUUCUCUCUUGAAGAACAAGACUUGGGAGUUAGCUAAAUUGCCUAAGGGCAAGAAAGCUAUUGGUUGCAAAUGGGUGUAUGCCAAGAAGGAAGAUGCUGAUGAGAAAAGCAAUGUGAGAUUCAAAGCAAGAUUAGUUGCUAAAGGGUAUGCACAAAAUGAGGGCAUUGACUACAAUGAAAUCUUUUCUCCGGUUGUGAAACACUCCUCAAUUCGCAUUAUGUUAGCUCUUGUUGCACAAUAUGAUCUUGAGCUUGUGCAACUUGAUGUGAAGACGGCUUUCCUACAUGGUGAUUUGAAUGAAGAGAUCUAUAUGUGUCAACCGGAUGGGUAUAUAGUGAAAGGGAAGGAAAAUUUGUUUUGCAAAUUGAAGAAAUCGCUUUAUGGCUUGAAGCAAUCUCCAAGGCAAUGGUAUUUGAGGUUUGAUAAAUUUAUGAGAUGCCAAAAUUAUUCUAGAAGUCAAUAUGAUCAUUGUGUGUACUUCAAGAAGUUGCAAGAUGGGUCUUUCAUUUAUUUGUUGAUAUAUGUUGAUGAUAUGUUGAUUGCCUCAAAGAAUGUUGAAGAGAUUGAAAAAUUGAAGAAACAAAUGAAGAAUGAGUUUGAGAUGAAGGAUCUUGGUGAAGCAAAGAAGAUCCUUGGCAUGGAGAUCACUAGAGAGAGAAGGGUUUGGUCAGUUUGAAUCAAAGACAAUACCUUGAGAAGUUGAUUCGGAAGUUUGGAGUUCAUGAUUCAACCAAACCGGUUAGUACCCCUUUGGCUCCUCAUUUUAAAUUGAGUUCUCUACAAUGUCCUAAAACUGAUAAAGAUAAGCUGCAAAUGAAAAAUAUACCAUAUGCAAAUUUGGUUGGUAGUUUGAUGUAUGCAAUGGUAUGCUCUAGACCGGAUAUUGCUCAUGCAGUUGGCAUGGUGAGUCGAUAUAUGCAUAAUCCAGGUAAAGAGCACUGGCAAGCAGCUAAGUGGAUAUUGAGAUAUCUCCAUGGUACUCGAGAUGUUGGUUUAUGCUUUGAGAGGGAUGACUCUGGUAUUGGUCAUUUUGCAGUUGGUUAUGUUGAUUCAGAUUAUGCAGGUGAUCUGGAUGGAAGGAAAUCUACUACAGGCUAUGUGUUUACUAUGGCUAAAGGGCCAGUUUGUUGGAGGUCCAUUUUGCAGUCGUAUGUUGCCUUGUCUACUACAGAGGCUGAAUAUAUGGCAGUUGCUGAAGCUAUAAAGGAGGCCAUUUGGAUACAUGGGCUGAUUAGAGAUUUAGGGGUUGAUCAGAAGCAGGUGGAGGUACAUUAUGAUAGUCAGAGUGCCAUUUAUUUGGCUAAGUAUCAGGUUCAUCAUGCGAGGACCAAGCACAUAGAUGUACGUUAUCACUUUGUUCGUGAAAUUGUUGGUGAAGGGGAAAUCAUUCUCCAGAAGAUUCCAACUAAAGACAACCCCGAUGAUAUGUUGACUAAGGUUGUUGGUGUAGCCAAGUUUGUUCAUUGCUUGAACUUGGCUCACAUUUUGCCUAUAUAAAGAAGGCGUUGAGCAGUAGGAGUUUUGGAGCAUUUGGCUCGGCAUGAGUUGUUCUCUUGCUAGUGUUUGGGAGUGAUGUUGUGUGUUAAUUGUGUUGGUUGGCUUAUCAUGGCGUUUUUUCGGAACUUGGCCAAGGUGAAGAUUGUUGGAGUAUGUGGCCAAGUGGCCAACUUUUGAUUAAACAAAUCAAAAAGGAAAAAAAGACAAAAUAAUUAUGUCUCUUCCUUGUUUUGGGGAAAAGAAAAGGGAAUUUGUCUAAAGUUUUCUUGGUCUAUGUGGGAAGUCACGGAUGAGUUUUUGAAGUAGAAGUAAUUGCUACUUUUGAUGAAGAGUAGUAAUGAAGCCAUAAGAGAGAAAAAAAAAACGUAGCAGAAAAAUAGAGCAAAAACAAAGGUGCUGAAGCCCCAUUUUGAAGAGAAGAAAGAAAGGUGAUUUUCUUUCUUUGUUGGUACUCACUCAAUCAAAGUUGUAUUUGUGUAUUAGCUUUGAGCUUUGUAUAGAGAGGAAAUUAUUCACUAUAUUUCCCUCUCUAUUUGUUUCUUUGGUGAGUGAGAGUUAUUGGAUGUAUUGGGGUUUUGGGUUGUGAGAUUGCCAACACUUUGUAAACUCCCAUUUGGUUGAUAGUGGAUUAUUGGGUGAGCUCCUACUGCUCCGAGGACGUACUCCAGUUACACUGACUGUUGAGGAACCUCGUUAAAAUCUUGGUGUUCUUUUAUAUUUUGUUCUUGCAUUUUUAUUUGAUAAAAUUUCCUGUGGGUUAGCUUGAGUUGGUUCCAACGGGUUUGGUGCUAUCUUAGCACAACAAAAUAUGCAUGAUUAACGCGACGAUAAUCAAGAAAUCAAGAGAAUAAUCCGAGCGAUUAAAUCAAAGGAAUCGAUUGGUUCGAAUAGUAUAAGACAUACGAACGAACCUGAAGAAUCGAGAGCUGGAGAGAGAUAGAGAGAGAGGAGUGACUCUCAGCAGACUAGAGGUGCGUAUGGGACUGAGAGAGAAAUGUGUAGGUUCCGUAGGAGGGUGUGAGUGCUAUAUAAGGAUAGGGUUUUCGUUUCUUGGGUUGGGCUUCAUUUUUUUUACUUUAUAGUAUUUUGUAGGCCCAACAAAAUCCACACGGACCUUUUUAACAGCAUAUAUAAUUAUUCUAGAGAUUAAAACUUUAAUUAUUUUAAUAAAUAAAAAAAUUCGAAUUUGGGUGCAAAGAGAUGGCGACACGACCUUUGCCAACCAACCUUUUGGGUGCAAAGAGACGGCGACACGACCUUUGCCAACCAACCUAAUCCACAGUUGCAUAAUCACCCAAAGUUCGCUCUUUAUACACCCCAACUCCAAACUUGGUUUUCGCCAAAGUUUUAUUAAUUAAUCAAACAAAAAUUAGUGAAAAAAGUUAUUAGCACCACAGUAUAGGAAUAUUUUUCUUCAAUUGUAAGUAAGAUUUUAUGUUUGACUCUUAAAAUAAUGAGUUCCAUAAUAAUUUAUCAUGAAACAAUUUCGUAAGACUUCUUACUAAGGGAAGAGGAACCAUAAACAUCGUUGCUCAUCAGUAUUUGAGCAGCAUUCCGUAGAACUCUUUGGAAAGAUUUUGUUGUUUUCCCGGAAAAUACAAAUGGUAUUAUUACAUACAUUGUCUUAUUCUAAUUUUUAUAACGACUCUCUCACUGGAUGUGCGACCCACAAAAUUACGAAAUCAUGUAAGAUUCACAUAAGACCGAAAUAGUAUGCGAGACGGUUAUAGUGAGAAACACAAUAAGAAUCUCUCUCUCUUUUACGCACGCCUUGCGAAUAUGGUUGACAUGAAGGAAUGCAAGAGGGAGCUGUUGCUGUUCUUCCCAGUUCGAACCGGUCGCGGAUUACGCCCAACAUCACGCAGCAGGGACAAAGCAAACUAGUAAACAAAAAGUAUGGUUAGUUAAAAAAUGGCACGUAGCAAAAAUGGCAGAAAUUGGUCCAUAAGACAAAGUAAAAACAGAAUGUGUAGGUCUCUGUUCUGAGCAGGCACAAAACAUUUAACUAGUAGUAGCACAGAUGCUGACUACAACAACAGUGUAACAGCAUUAAACAAAAACGAUUCAAAUGGAAACCAAAAAUUAACGCAGUGCAUCAACGACGUAAUAUUACUCAAAGCUUGUCCUCGAACUCGGAUAGCGGGGUCAUCUGCUCCUUCAAUCCCUUCCUCUUACGGAUGUCGGUAACAAGUGCUGCAGCCUGGGAUCCCGCUUCCAAUGGAUCGGACGACAUCAUCUCCCAAUGAUCAAACACACAUUGCGGGAAAGCCUGCCCAGAAGUUGCAGCCCUCAGUUGACCAGAGAAUCCAAAGGACUCAACGACAGGGAGGUAUGCCUUGAUGUUGUAGAGUGGAGUUCCAGGCCUUUGCAUCUCCUCAAACACGUGCCCACGUUUCUGAUUCAGAACACUGUAGAUACCGCCAAGAGCCCCCUCUGGAGCUUGAAUUUCAACGAGAUAAACUGGUUCGAGAAGCCUUGGCUUGGCUGUAAGCUGAGAGGCAUAGAUGACCCUUCGAGCGGUUGGAAUGACCUGACCACCCCCUCUGUGGAUAGCAUCAGCAUGAAGAACCACAUCACAGACUUCAAAGCAAAUACCUCUCAUGUUUUCUUCAGCCAAUGCACCUUCCUUUGAGGCCCACUGGAACCCAGCAACAACAGAAUCCUUGAUUUCAUUAAGGUACUGAACUCCCUUACACAUGUCGACCACCAUGUUAGGACCAGUCGUCUCGGGACCAAAACACCAGAUUUUCUUAGCAAGAUCCUUGUCCCAACCAAACUCCUCAGCCAAGAUCUUGGAACGAAUCUUGGGAUCAUCUCUUGGGCCAAUGCGACCUUCAUCAAUAGCCUCGGGAAGACCUUCCUCAAGGGGCCUUGCUUCCAUGUACAGACGAUUAUGCUUGUUUGGGGACUUGCUCAUCACUGUACGGCAGGACUUAUCAAGGACAGUCUCACGGAAGGACACAACAGGGUCAGACUUUAUAAUCUCGGCACCACCCAUAAAAUCAUCUUGCAGAUCCUUCAAACAUAUCUCAAGAUGCAGUUCACCAGCACCAGCAAUAAUGUGCUCUCCAGACUCCUCAAUGGAGCAGACAACCAUAGGAUCAGACUUGGCCAAACGUUUGAGACCUUCAACAAGUUUGGGAAGGUCAGAUGCGACCUUGCACUGGACAGCAACACGCACGACAGGUGAAACAGAGAACUUCAUAGCACGAAUAGGGUGAGCAUCUACUUCCUUCUCAUUUGUUAAAGUAGCAUUCUUGGUGAUAAACUGAUCCAAACCGACCAAAGCAACAGUGUUACCACAAGGAACAUCCUCAACAGUUUCUUGUCUCUUUCCCAUCCAAAUAACCGUCCUCUGUACGUUCUUGACAUACAAAUCCUUCUUUUCUCCAGGAACAAAAUUUGGACCCAUGAUUCUAACCUUCAAACCUGUCUGAACUUUACCAGCAAAGACACGGCCAAAGGCAAAGAAUCUACCCUUAUCAGAAGCAGGAAUCAUCUUAGACACAUAAAGCAUAAGAGGUCCUUCGGGGUCACAAUUCCUGAUGGCAUUGGCAUAUUGAUCAUCAAGGGGACCCUCGUACAAAUUCUCAACACGGUACCUUUGAGCCGUGGAGGGAGAUGGAAGGUGAAAGAUCAUCAUUUCCAAUAGAGCAGUGCUAGCUGGUAGCCAGGUCUGCAUAACACGCUUCAUCAACGCCUUCCCCAUCAGGUCCUUCUCAUCACUCUUCAUGGUGACACCAAGCUUUGUCAACAUGGGCCACAACUUAUCCUUCUGAUCAUUCAUGCAGGUUUUGAUGAUCUGCUUGAUGGGCUCAUAACAGAACUGAACAAAACCACGCUUGCAAGUAGCAGUUCCAGUGUUCUUGCUGGUCCAUUUCUUGGUAGCUGGGUCAAAGAAGUUCUCACCCCAGAGCCUUUCCAUCAUCUUUGACUCAUCAACUCCAAACUUGGAAGCAUACAUCUUAGCAAAGUUGGUCAGAGUGAAAGCCCAACCGUGCAAACCAGCUGAAAAGGCAACGGUUCCUUUCUCUGGGUACACCUGGACAUCACCAAGAAGUGGAUCUUCAUAUGUAGCCAUAAUGACAUUGGCAUUUUCAAUAACUCUUUGGAAUGUCUGGUAAGCCUCUUCUCCAUCGACCUGGAGCUCAAGGAAGCACCUGUCCAUCUUGUUAACGGUCAAAACAGGCCUGAUCCUCUCUCCCAAGGCUUGACGGAGCACAGUCUCAGUCUGGACACACACACCCUCAAUACAAUCCACCACCACAAGUGCACCAUCAGUAAUACGCAGAGCAGCUGUGACCUCAGAUGAAAAGUCAACGUGCCCGGGGGAAUCAAUGAGAUUGAUGAGGUACUCAUUUCCGUUUCUCUCUCCCUUGAACCUCGACAAAGACUCAUCAGUCAUCUCAUAGUACAAAGAGAUACCGGUAGAUUUGAUUGUGAUACCACGCUCAGCUUCAUCUGCACGGGUAUCCGUCAUACGGACAUCACCGGCAACUU
RNAcentral lists this long non-coding RNA (11009 nucleotides) under Malus domestica (apple). RNAcentral describes it as "long non-coding RNA (MDOM_LNC005199)". The record is from RNAcentral. Lineage: Eukaryota; Viridiplantae; Streptophyta; Magnoliopsida; Rosales; Rosaceae.